UCCUACGGGCGGCUGCAGUAAGGAAUAGUGGUCAAUGGACGCAAGUCUGAACCAGCCAUGCCGCGUGAAGGAUGAAGGUCCUCUGGAUUGUAAACUUCUUUUAUUUGGGAAGAAACCCACGAUUUCUAUUGUGGUUGACGGUACCAGAUGAAUAAGCACCGGCUAACUCCGUGCCAGCAGCCGCGGUAAUACGGAGGGUGCAAGCGUUAUCCGGAUUCACUGGGUUUAAAGGGUGCGUAGGCGGGCAGGUAAGUCAGUGGUGAAAUCCCCGAGCUUAACUUGGGAACUGCCGUUGAUACUAUCUGUCUUGAAUACUGUGGAGGUAAGCGGAAUAUGUCAUGUAGCGGUGAAAUGCUUAGAUAUGACAUAGAACACCUAUUGCGAAGGCAGCUUGCUACACAGUCAUUGACGCUGAGGCACGAAAGCGUGGGGAUCAAACAGGAUUAGAUACCCCGGUAGUCA
RNAcentral lists this ribosomal RNA (462 nucleotides) under uncultured Chitinophagaceae bacterium. Its description in RNAcentral is "bacterial SSU rRNA". It matches the Rfam family "Bacterial small subunit ribosomal RNA", at positions 337 to 796 of the family's 1533-position model. The record is from RNAcentral. Lineage: Bacteria; Pseudomonadati; Bacteroidota; Chitinophagia; Chitinophagales; Chitinophagaceae.